This 395-nucleotide ribosomal RNA is filed under the name uncultured bacterium. RNAcentral's name for it is "partial 16S ribosomal RNA". It matches the Rfam family "Bacterial small subunit ribosomal RNA", at positions 523 to 918 of the family's 1533-position model. The record is from RNAcentral.
AUACGUAGGGUGCAAGCGUUAAUCGGAAUUACUGGGCGUAAAGCGUGCGCAGGCGGUUUUGUAAGACAGAGGUGAAAUCCCCGGGCUCAACCUGGGAACUGCCUUUGUGACUGCAAGGCCAGAGGACGGCAGAGGGGGAUGGAAUUCCGCGUGUAGCAGGGAAAUGCGUAGAUAUGCGGAGGAACACCGAUGGCGAAGGCAAUCCCCUGGGCCUGUACUGACGCUCAUGCACGAAAGCGUGGGGAGCAAACAGGAUUAGAUACCCUGGUAGUCCACGCCCUAAACGAUGUCAACUGGUUGUUGGGUCUUCAUUGACUCAGUAACGAAGCUAACGCGUGAAGUUGACCGCCUGGGGAGUACGGCCGCAAGGUUAAAACUCAAAUGAAUUGGCGGGG